RNAcentral lists this ribosomal RNA (1735 nucleotides) under Labidognathia longicollis. RNAcentral describes it as "SSU rRNA". It matches the Rfam family "Eukaryotic small subunit ribosomal RNA". The record is from RNAcentral. Lineage: Eukaryota; Metazoa; Gnathostomulida; Bursovaginoidea; Mesognathariidae.
UGAUACGCUUGUCUCAAAGAUUAAGCCAUGCAUGUCUGAGUACAUACUGCACGAAAAGUGAAACCGCGAAUGGCUCAUUAAAUCAGUUAUGGUUCCUUAGAGCUAGUACUUGACAUGGAUAACUUUGGCAAACUGGAGCUAAUACAUGCAGCAAAAGCUGGGCUGUUUCGACGCAGACCAGUGCACUUAUUAGAUCAAAACCAAUAGCUUUUGAUGACUCUGGAUAAGACUGCCAACCAUUUAGUGCUUUGUCACGAUGGUGUAUCUUUCAAAUGUCUGCCCUAUCAAUUGCUGAUGGUAGGUUAUUCGCCUACCAUGAUUGUAACGGGUAACGGAGAAUCAGGGUUUGAUUCCGGAGAGGGAGCCUGAGAAAUGGCUGCCACAUCUAAGGAAGGCAGCAGGCGCGUAAAUUACCCACUCCUUGAAAAGGGAGGUAGUGACGAGAAAUUACAAUGCUGGGCAUAUGUUUGUUCAGUGAUUGUCUUGAGUGCUCUUUAAAACGUGGCUCAAGGAUCUAUUGGAGGGCAAGUCUGGUGCCAGCAGCCGCGGUAAUUCCAGCUCCAAUAGCGUAUAUUAAAGUUGUUGCGGCUAAAAAGCUCGUAGUUGGAUCUCAGGUUUGACAUGCAGCUCAUGUUGUGUGGGUACUGCAUGGAGAAUCUUAGUUCAUGUGCAGGCCUUGCUGCUCUUUGUUGGGUGGCUUGGCUGCCUUGAAGUUUUACUUUGAAGAAAGGAGCGUGCUUGAAACAAGCAGUGCAUAGCUUGAAUCUUAGUGCAUGGAAUAAUGGAAUAGGAACUCCGGUUCUAUUUUGUUGGUUUUAAGAGCCAGUUAAUGGUUAAUAGAGACAGGCGGGGGCAUUUGUACUGCGGCGUUAGAGGUGAAAUUCUUGGAUCGUCGCAAGACAAACUACAGCGAAAGCAUUUGCCAAGAAUGUCUUCAUUAAUCAAGAACGAAAGUCGGAGGUUCGAAGGGGAUCAGAUACCCCCCUAGUUCUGACCAUAAACGAUGCCAACUAGCUGCCAGUCAGUGUUAUCAACUGACCUGACUGGAAGCUCUCGGGAAGCCCAAGUAUUUGGGUUCCGGGGAAAGUAUGGUUGCAAAGCUGAAAUUUAAAGGAAUUGACGGAAGGGCACCACCAGGAGUGGAGCCUGCGGCUUAAUUUGACUCAACACGGGAAAACUCACCUGGACCUGACACUGUUAGGAUUGACAGACUGAGAGCUCUUUCUUGAUUCGGUGGAUGGUGGUGCAUGGCCGUUCUUAGUUGGUGGAGUGAUUUGUCUGAUUAAUUUCGAUAACGAACGAGACUCUAGUCUGCUAACUAGCCUUGCUGGUUGCCUUGUUGCAAUGCAGCAUGCUUCUUAGAGGAACUGGUGGUUUUGAAGCCACACGAAGUUGAGCAAUAACAGGUCUGUGAUGCCCUUAGAUGUUCAGGGCUGCACGCGCGCUACAAUGGAGGGAUCAACAUGUUUCCUGCUCUGCAAAGAGUGGGCAAUCAUGUGAAUUGCCUUCAUGACUGGGAUAGAAAAUUGCAAUUGUUUUUCUUGAACGAGGAAUUCCCAGUAAGCGCAAGUCAUAAGCUUGUGUUGAUUACGUCCCUGCCCUUUGUACACACCGCCCGUCGCUAGUAGCGAUUGAUGGCUUAGCGAGGAUAUUGGAUCGGCUAGGCUGCGUGCUUGGCUGAGAAGAAAUUCUAGCUAUGCUAUUGAGAGCAACUAAAAGUCGUAACAAGGUAUCC